GAUGAACGCUGGCGGCGUGCCUAAUACAUGCAAGUCGAGCGAACGGACGAGAAGCUUGCUUCUCUGAUGUUAGCGGCGGACGGGCGAGUAACACGUGGAUAACCUACCUAUAAGACUGGGAUAACUUCGGGAAACCGGAGCUAAUACCGAAUAAUAUUUUGAACCGCAUGGUUCAAAAGUGAAAGACGGUCUUGCUGUCACUUAUAGAUGGAUCCGCGCUGCAUUAGCUAGUUGGUAAGGUAACGGCUUACCAAGGCAACGAUGCAUAGCCGACCUGAGAGGGUGAUCGGCCACACCGGAACUGAGACACGGUCCAGACUCCUACGGGAGGCAGCAGUAGGGAAUCUUCCGCAAUGGGCGAAAGCCUGACGGAGCAACGCCGCGUGAGUGAUGACGGUCUUCGGAUCGUAAAACUCUGUUAUUAGGGAAGAACAUAUGUGUAAGUAACUGUGCACAUCUUGACGGUACCUAAUCAGAAAGCCACGGCUAACUACGUGCCAGCAGCCGCGGUAAUACGUAGGUGGCAAGCGUUAUCCGGAAUUAUUGGGCGUAAAGCGCGCGUAGGCGGUUUUUUAAGUCUGAUGUGAAAGCCCACGGCUCAACCGUGGAGGGUCAUUGGAAACUGGAAAACUUGAGUGCAGAAGAGGAAAGUGGAAUUCCAUGUGUAGCGGUGAAAUGCGCAGAGAUAUGGAGGAACACCAGUGGCGAAGGCGACUUUCUGGUCUGUAACUGACGCUGAUGUGCGAAAGCGUGGGGAUCAAACAGGAUUAGAUACCCUGGUAGUCCACGCCGUAAACGAUGAGUGCUAAGUGUUAGGGGGUUUCCGCCCCUUAGUGCUGCAGCUAACGCAUUAAGCACUCCGCCUGGGGAGUACGACCGCAAGGUUGAAACUCAAAGGAAUUGACGGGGACCCGCACAAGCGGUGGAGCAUGUGGUUUAAUUCGAAGCAACGCGAAGAACCUUACCAAAUCUUGACAUCCUUUGACAACUCUAGAGAUAGAGCCUUCCCCUUCGGGGGACAAAGUGACAGGUGGUGCAUGGUUGUCGUCAGCUCGUGUCGUGAGAUGUUGGGUUAAGUCCCGCAACGAGCGCAACCCUUAAGCUUAGUUGCCAUCAUUAAGUUGGGCACUCUAAGUUGACUGCCGGUGACAAACCGGAGGGAGGUGGGGAUGACGUCAAAUCAUCAUGCCCCUUAUGAUUUGGGCUACACACGUGCUACAAUGGACAAUACAAAGGGCAGCGAAACCGCGAGGUCAAGCAAAUCCCAUAAAGUUGUUCUCAGUUCGGAUUGUAGUCUGCAACUCGACUACAUGAAGCUGGAAUCGCUAGUAAUCGUAGAUCAGCAUGCUACGGUGAAUACGUUCCCGGGUCU
RNAcentral lists this ribosomal RNA (1372 nucleotides) under uncultured bacterium. Its description in RNAcentral is "bacterial SSU rRNA". It matches the Rfam family "Bacterial small subunit ribosomal RNA", at positions 28 to 1381 of the family's 1533-position model. The record is from RNAcentral.